UAUAUAUAUAUAUGUAUAUAGCAAUCAUUAAAAUAAUAGAUUUUCAAUAAUUGUUUUGAAAAUAUUAUCUGUGCAUUUUGCCUGCUAAUUCUUUAUUAAACUUUUUUUCUGUUGAUUUUGGGAUGAAAUAUGGUGUUUUAGACAUGUUUUAUGACAUUAAUUAAUUUCUGAAUGCAGUAGCUCAUUACAGGCCUGGAAAUACGUUUAUGACUGUAAUACAACAUUUGCAAUACUUUCAGCCGUUCUGGGGCAGUUUUCACUGUCUCUCGGCAGUGGUGCUCAUGGAUUUCAGUAACAGUGUCACUGCAGUAUUUGAGCAUGAGCUCGGUCUUCCUGAAACCAGACGGCUGCUGUCUUCGUCCUGUGACUCCUCAGGUUCACAUGAUGUUGUUAAUCCUGCUCCUCUUCUAAAUCCAGCUCAGACCAUCAGAUGUCUCGGAAGCUUUGAAACUGUGGAGACUGACAGCUGGCUUUCUCCUUCAGCACAAUGAUCAUGUGGUUUGCUGCUUAUGACUGAAAGUUUGUUGGUUGUAUUUCAAUGCAUUGAAGUGUUGACGGCUCUGCUGUUGGAUCAGUAUUUCCCGUCGGGUCGCUCAUAAUCACUGCUGUUCACCGGCCUAAUGUAAAGGACCUCCGUUUCUUUUUCCAUUUUCUUUGCAAAUUCUUUCAUUUUCAAUUUCUGUCUUUUUUAAUCUAUGCUUUAUGUUGUGCACGCAUUUUAAAAAUAUCAGUAUCUUAAUGCAGUUUUGGGUUUUUCGGGUUGCUUUCACUUUGAAAGUCGAUUCAAUAAAAUUCUUUUUGUUGUUUUUCCAAAGUGGUGUUUUCUCCUCUUUGUUGUCUUUUGAUGGUUAUGAAAAAAAUCUACUAUGGAAGCUUUCUUUCACCAUGGGGAAAAAUAAAAAAAUAAAAAUAAAGAGGCAAUUUCAACAUUUUUAUCACAGUUCAGUUUUUUUUCUAGAUGCAAACAGAAUUGUGAGAUAUAAAGUUGCAACUGCAAUAUAAACUCAGAAUGCUGAGGAAAAUAGAAUUUUGAGGUGUAAACUCAAACUUUGAGGAGAU
Cyprinus carpio carpio is the source of this 1059-nucleotide long non-coding RNA. NCBI's taxonomy places the organism in Eukaryota, Metazoa, Chordata, Actinopteri, Cypriniformes, Cyprinidae. The record is from Ensembl.